GAUGAACGCUGGCGGCGUGCCUAAUACAUGCAAGUCGAACGAACGGACGAGAAGCUUGCUUCUCUGAUGUUAGCGGCGGACGGGUGAGUAACACGUGGAUAACCUACCUAUAAGACUGGGAUAACUUCGGGAAACCGGAGCUAAUACCGGCUAAUAUUUUGAACCGCAUGGUUCAAAAGUGAAAGACGGUCUUGCUGUCACUUAUAGAUGGAUCCGCGCUGCAUUAGCUAGUUGGUAAGGUAACGGCUUACCAAGGCAACGAUGCAUAGCAGACCUGAGAGGGUGAUCGGCCACACUGGAACUGAGACACGGUCCAGACUCCUACGGGAGGCAGCAGUAGGGAAUCUUCCGCAAUGGGCGAAAGCCUGAUGCAGCAACGCCGCGUGAGUGAUGAAGGUCUUCGGAUCGUAAAACUCUGUUAUUAGGGAAGAACAUAUGUGUAAUUAACUGUGCACAUCUUGACGGUACCUAAUCAGAAAGCCCCGGCUAACUACGUG
RNAcentral lists this ribosomal RNA (497 nucleotides) under uncultured bacterium. Its description in RNAcentral is "partial 16S ribosomal RNA". It matches the Rfam family "Bacterial small subunit ribosomal RNA", at positions 28 to 507 of the family's 1533-position model. The record is from RNAcentral.